UUUCCGUAGGUGAACCUGCGGAAGGAUCAUUGUCGAAACCUGCCCAGCAGAACGACCCGCAAACUUGUAUAAACAACUGGGGGCGGAGGGGGCGUUCUCGCCCCGUGCCCCCGAACGGCGGGGAGACACUCGUGCCUUCCUGCCGAACAACGAACCCCGGCGCGGUCUGCGCCAAGGAACUUCAACUAAAGAGGGCCUCCGGUCGCCUCGGAAACGGCGUGCGUGCCGGAGGCGAAUCUUGUGCAAGACCAUAACGACUCUCGGCAACGGAUAUCUCGGCUCUC
RNAcentral lists this unclassified non-coding RNA (284 nucleotides) under plant metagenome. Its description in RNAcentral is "partial contains small subunit ribosomal RNA, internal transcribed spacer 1, and 5.8S ribosomal RNA". The record is from RNAcentral.